UCCCAGGUGGUCUAGUGGUUAGGAUUCGUGGCUCUCACCCACGCGGCCCGGGUUCGAUUCCCAGUCUGGGAA
Ciona savignyi (Pacific transparent sea squirt) is the source of this 72-nucleotide non-coding RNA. NCBI's taxonomy places the organism in Eukaryota, Metazoa, Chordata, Ascidiacea, Phlebobranchia, Cionidae. The record is from Rfam.